RNAcentral lists this unclassified non-coding RNA (90 nucleotides) under Pseudomonas gessardii. Lineage: Bacteria; Pseudomonadati; Pseudomonadota; Gammaproteobacteria; Pseudomonadales; Pseudomonadaceae. The record is from RNAcentral.
UGUGGGAGCGGGCUUGCUCGCGAUAGCGCUGUAUCAGUCGACAUUUUUGUUAGCUGACACACCGCAUUCGCGAGCAAGCCCGCUCCCACA